Cricetulus griseus (Chinese hamster) is the source of this 1703-nucleotide non-coding RNA. The record is from RefSeq and is a predicted model, not a curated record. Lineage: Eukaryota; Metazoa; Chordata; Mammalia; Rodentia; Cricetidae.
AAAGGAAGUGGCUUAAUGACCCUGAAGGGAUUUCUCCCGGUGAUAGCUUUUAUAUUAUCAAGUAAGAGAUUCCAUCUCAGUAUAAGCAAGUUUUUUCCUAGUGUAGGAGAAAUGCUUUUCCUUUGUGACAAGAUGUGAAGACUUUUUUCAGAUAACACCAUCUGAAUCAUAACCAGCCUGGCAGUAUGAUGACGUAGAUGCAGAGGGAACAGCUCCUUGGUGAAUGAUAAGUAAAGGCAGAAAGGAUAAUGUCAUAUCUCCAUUGGGGAAUGAGCAUGAGCCCAAGAUUCUUACUACUGAUGAAAAUGCCUCCAUAUGCAAAAAAUUAAGCAAAUGAAAUCAACCAAUAUAAAGUUAUGGAAUCUACCAUGUUUAAAAGUUAAUGGCUUAUCAAGCUUUAUCCACAAAAGUAAAGAAUUGAUGGGAAACAAUGAAGAUAAAUGUCCAUCUCAAAACACUGCUUUUACAAAAGCAGAAUAAAAAUGAAAUGAAAUGAAAAUGCUACAUUAAUCCUGGAGUAAAAAAGAAGCUGAAAUGAUUGAUAUGAGUGGGAUCAAAUGGAUUGAGAGGAGGCUGUGCAGUGUGCCAAUCUUUCAUUUGCCUCAGACAGGUUUCUCUUCAUAAUCAGAAGAGUUGCUUCAUUUCAUCUCGGAGCAGGAAACAGCAGACUGCUGUUAACAGAUAAGUUUAACUUGAUCUGCAGUAUUGCAUGUUAGGGAUAAGUGCUUAUUUUUUGUAAGAGAUCUGGAGGUACUGAAUAUGUCAUUUGCCUGACCCCUUCUUUAGGGGAUUUCAGGACUGAGCAGUUUUCCCAUCCAGCCUUUUAGAAAUUCUAGGCCUUGUGCAUUGGGCUUUCAUGAUGGGAUAGUAGGUAACAGGCUUUUGCAUCCUAAGUAAUUUCAUCACAAAAGCCUUAUAUAUAGUUAGUGCCUGCUUUAAAUACAUUGCUGACAGAACUAAGGAUUUGAAUCUCUGAAGACACUGAAAGGGAUGUAACCUUGUGUGCUGACAGUCAGAUAAGUUCAUCUUGCUAAAAUUUAAAUGUGCUUAAUGUACUUGUGCUUAAAACCAUUAAAUCAUACAGAUAAAUAAAAUAUUUCACUAGGGUAUGUAUGCAUUUAGAAAGCUGUCUUCCUUAUUUAAAUAAAGUACUUUUUUGUCUGUAGUUAGUGUUGGGCAAUCUUGGGGGGAUGUUCUUCUCUAAUCUUUCAGAAACUUUGUCUUCGAACACUUAAACGGACAAGAUCAGGACUUGAGCAGAAGACCGAACUUAACUUUAAGGCAGGAAAGACAAAUUUUAUUCUCCAUACAGUGAAUCAGCAUUUAUAAUCCCAUGUGUGGCAUAGAGGCCCUGCCCUCUAAAUAAGGAAUAAGUACCUUAGACAGGUGGGAGAUAAUGGUCAGAGUAAAAGGUAACUACAUAUUUUGUUUCCAGAAAGUCAGGGGUCUAAUUUGACAAUGGCUAAACAUCUAGGGUAAGAUAACUUUUCCACACUUCCAAAUUUGCAUGUUAAAUGCUUAUGACCAUUUCAUCCACUGUUAAGCCUUUUCUCACCUCACUUGAGCCAGAAUUUGGGCGGGCAUGUGGGUUUUUAAAGAAUUUUCCUUUGCAGAGGCUUCAUUUCAUCCUUCAUGAAGCUGCUCAGGACUCUGACUUGCAUAUGAGUGCUUGGCUCUUCUGUUCUGCUAGUGAGUGUGUGAGA